Maylandia zebra (zebra mbuna) is the source of this 1352-nucleotide long non-coding RNA. RefSeq lists it as uncharacterized. The record is from RefSeq and is a predicted model, not a curated record. Lineage: Eukaryota; Metazoa; Chordata; Actinopteri; Cichliformes; Cichlidae.
AAAAUGCAUGCCGUGGGAGAGUUCGGGUCUUAGGAGGUUAAUGCCCAGACAAAAGAGAGAAUAUUUUUCUGACUCAUUUCCCAAAGUGAUCUAAGACUAACCAAACCUGUUUGAACAAGCAGCUGUCCACAAAAGAGUAAGGCGUGCUGCAAUAACUACGAACAAUUCCAAGCAUAAUUGGCAUCAUUUGGUGAGUGCUUCAGAAAAAAUGGAGAAGCUGAGAGUAAGCCUAACUGAGAUACAUUUCUCCCUUCUGGCUGUGCAACAGUAUGCAAUUAGAGAACUAGUUUUAGUUAGUAGUAAAGUUUAUUACAGUUUACCAACAGCUGUAAAAAGUUGUUUCACUUGUGAAAAUUCUCCUGUACCUUUAAACCUUAACUGUGCUUCUACCAACUGAAUCCAGCUACAAUUGUGUCUGCUUUUUGAGCACCUAAACAUCAAUUAGCACCUGAUAUAACUGUUGUAGCUGAGAAGAAAAUCCCAUAUGUAGAGAGAGUGCUCAUCUGUGGAUGAGCAUCAGUCAAAGUAAACAGAACAUAAUAUGUUUGGAGUAAUUGAACCAUCUGGGUAAAGGGCUACCACCGUCAUUAGAGACCCUGUUGCCCGAUGUUACCGUGCAUUUGACCUGAGCGAGAACCCGCUCGCAUACUCAUCCUUUAACUAAGCAAACCACUCAAGAGAGGACAGUUUUCACACCAGACUGCACUCAGCACACUAACAGCUGGUUGCCACAUCACCAUAGACAGCUUGUGAAGAAGGGAUUGAGCAGAGCAGAGAGAGAGAGUGAGAAAUUAGCAACAGGUUCUUAUUUGGUGCCAAUAAAGUGCAAAGAAACUUUUCUAUUAUUUACUUAAUUUCAAUGUGGUUAUAUAAGAGCUGAGAGUUCAUUUUUAGGAGAAGAGAGCAAAUCUCUCUUAGUAAUUCAAUUCACCAUAAUGACAACAGUUUUUGCUGGAAUGCAGAAAAAAUUAGACUAUGGACUUUCGCUGUGAGGUCAGUUUGUAUUUUUACAUAAGCAGUCAUCGUUUAGAAACAAGGAGUCAAUAAGACCAGCUGAAAAACAAGUUAGAAAUUAACCAGGUGCAUCACAGAGAGACAAAACGUAGCCUUCUGACAGACUUUGAUAAGGGCGUGUAGAGGAGUUAACCAAAUGUAAACAAAGACUUUUAUUUGGCAACAGUAGUUUGUGCGUAGACAUUAGAACACUAGUUAACCUGCUGAUCUUCAAUUCAAGCCAAAUCCCAAGAUAUGGCAGCAGACUUUUUGCAAGCGGUUGGUGGGUGUUAGCGGUACUGCACUGCAGUGGUUCAGAUCUUAUUUGGCAGAGGAAACUUUCUCUGUGAAACUUGGUG